AUUUAGAGUAUAUAAAGGGCAUCACCAGAGUGGCGGGAUAUUGCGUCAUCAUUGUGUCACCUGGGCGUCAUGGUUGCCGGUGCUCGACAGCUCUGUGUGUGAGCUGGUGUCUGUUCGGAGGUACUGAUCGUACUGCUCGAGAGGGUGUUUCCUCUGCAUCACUGCUGUAGUUCCAGUUUAGAUCGCAAGUACAACACGGCGUGCUGUGGGUGACUGCUGCUCUUCUGUUUGUAAAUGGUAUGAGAGAAUGGUCUGCCGGAUAUUUUAACGGAAGUCCCGCUGAUCGGUAUGUAAACCCACUCAUGUCUUUAUGUCCACUUUAAAGUAACGUUAAAAGUGUGUUUUUAACUCUGUUUCUUGUGUAUUUU
Molecule: long non-coding RNA, 368 nt
Organism: Xyrauchen texanus (razorback sucker)
Lineage: Eukaryota; Metazoa; Chordata; Actinopteri; Cypriniformes; Catostomidae
Exons: 3
Source: RefSeq, a predicted model, not a curated record